Molecule: ribosomal RNA, 445 nt
Filed under: uncultured bacterium
Lineage: Bacteria
Description: partial 16S ribosomal RNA
Rfam family: Bacterial small subunit ribosomal RNA
Source: RNAcentral
GUGAGGAAUAUUGGUCAAUGGGCGGGAGCCUGAACCAGCCAAGUCGCGUGAAGGAAGAAGGAUCUAUGGUUCGUAAACUUCUUUUGCAGGGGAAUAAAGUGCAGGACGUGUCCUGUUUUGUAUGUACCCUGAGAAUAAGGAUCGGCUAACUCCGUGCCAGCAGCCGCGGUAAUACGGAGGAUCCGAGCGUUAUCCGGAUUUAUUGGGUUUAAAGGGUGCGUAGGUGGUUUGAUAAGUCAGCGGUGAAAGUUUGCAGCUUAACUGUAAAAAUGCCGUUGAAACUGUCGGACUUGAGUGUAAAUGAGGUAGGCGGAAUGCGUGGUGUAGCGGUGAAAUGCAUAGAUAUCACGCAGAACUCCGAUUGCGAAGGCAGCUUACCAAGCUACAACUGACACUGAAGCACGAAAGCGUGGGGAUCAAACAGGAUUAGAAACCCUGGUAGUCC